CACCUCCAUCCCCAGCAUCAGCAGCACCAACACCAUCCCCAGCAUCAGCAGCACCAGAACCACCUCCAGCAUCGUCAACAAAAAGACUGGCUUAUGUCUUGGAUAGAGCCAAAGAUCCAAGUGAGGAUUUACUUCAGCUGAGCCCAGCCCAAACAUUAAAGAGAAGUGACUUUUGGUCUUUGGCCUUUGAUGAGUUAGAGGCAAUGAUUGCUAAUCAGUGCUUUCAGCUCAUAGCUGCACUUGCAGCUUCACAGGGCAAAGAUGUGUUUGCCGUCAACAGUUAUGUGGUGGCCACAUGGUUGCCCCCAUAUAACAAUGAUCCUUGGCCAGCUUUACCUGAUGAUGCUGCAACCAAGGACUUUAUUUUACUUCCCUCAUUGGAGUCAGGGCACUGGAUUAUAUGUAUCCUCAAGCCAAAGUCAAGGGACAUUUUAUUUUUUGACUCCAUGAACCCUGGAGACUUUGAACAUGGGAGUUAUAUUCAGAUUUUCAGGUUUUUACCUGAGGAUAGCACAUUUCAAGUUCUACUGUUCUGUGUUCAUACUAAUAACAUGCAUGUGUUUGGAGUUCAUACUAACACAAAUGAAUGUCUGUGUUCUUAUACAAACCAGCUUUUAUUAUGUAAUAGUCUUUACCACAUUUUAAAUGAACUGGCUAUAAAAUUGUAUUUUUUUUUACAGGUGUGAAGAGUGAUGGAAUAGUACUUUCAUUCGACUUCAUGAACUGAAAUGUGUCGCGCAUUAUGAAAUAAAACUGGCAAGUCACAUUUCACCCGGCCAUUGGAACAUGUCUGUACUGGCAGAUUUUGAGGGUGCCCCUCUUCAGCUAGGAGGAAUUGAUUGUGGGGUAUUCAUGUUGAUGUAUGCACUCCAUGUUACGCUCUCAAAGCCAUUUGAUUUUGCUGCGGUGAGUUUGCUUCAAUUUAUGGUUAUUUGUAAA
Labeo rohita (rohu) is the source of this 939-nucleotide long non-coding RNA. RefSeq lists it as uncharacterized. The transcript has 9 exons. NCBI's taxonomy places the organism in Eukaryota, Metazoa, Chordata, Actinopteri, Cypriniformes, Cyprinidae. The record is from RefSeq and is a predicted model, not a curated record.